Molecule: ribosomal RNA, 510 nt
Filed under: uncultured bacterium
Lineage: Bacteria
Description: partial 16S ribosomal RNA
Rfam family: Bacterial small subunit ribosomal RNA
Source: RNAcentral
GACGAACGCUGGCGGCGUGCUUAACACAUGCAAGUCGAACGAAGAGCGAUGGAAGCUUGCUUCUAUCAAUCUUAGUGGCGAACGGGUGAGUAACGCGUAAUCAACCUGCCCUUCAGAGGGGGACAACAGUUGGAAACGACUGCUAAUACCGCAUACGAUCUAAUCUCGGCAUCGAGGAUAGAUGAAAGGUGGCCUCUACAUGUAAGCUAUCACUGAAGGAGGGGAUUGCGUCUGAUUAGCUAGUUGGAGGGGUAACGGCCCACCAAGGCGAUGAUCAGUAGCCGGUCUGAGAGGAUGAACGGCCACAUUGGGACUGAGACACGGCCCAGACUCCUACGGGAGGCAGCAGUGGGGAAUCUUCCGCAAUGGACGAAAGUCUGACGGAGGAACGCCGCGUGAGUGAUGACGGCCUUCGGGUUGUAAAGCUCUGUUAAUCGGGACGAAAGGCCUUCUUGCGAAUAGUGAGAAGGAUUGACGGUACCGGAAUAGAAAGCCACGGCUAACUACGUG